AUUUGUGAUCUGAUUCUUUAGAUUUUCCAAAAGUCUUUGAACUUGCCUGUCUGAGCUCUAUGUAAAAUAACAAGAACAUAAAAUGGACAACAGGAAGCAAUAUUAGAAAAUCCUGCACCAUUUCUACAAAGCUCCAUAUGUUGCCACAGUUUUGCAUAACAUCGCAGAUCUGGGGUCGGCUUAUUGUCAGCAACUGAGGGAGAAAGGAAUUCUACUGUGUUUAACCCCAGCUCUGCGUGAUGACGACAUACAAGUGGCAAGGCUAAGCCUAGAAUUACUGAAUACGCUUUUCACAUACUGUCCAGAUGUUGCUGGAGACUUUUUCCACAACUCCAGUCUGCAGAUCAUUGAGUUACAUAAGGAUAAGCCUGAUCAUAAGCAGCAAGUUCAAGCAGUCUGGAACAAAUAUCAAGAACUGAUAACAGUAACCUGUGGACCCCCCAGUAUGGACUAAACGACAAAUCGACAACUGACAUUUUAGCAUUGCUUUUUGUGGAUGCAUUAAUAUUUAGUUUUCUAAUAAAAUAAGCAUGAAUUGCA
Molecule: long non-coding RNA, 540 nt
Organism: Xenopus tropicalis (tropical clawed frog)
Lineage: Eukaryota; Metazoa; Chordata; Amphibia; Anura; Pipidae
Exons: 4
Source: RefSeq, a predicted model, not a curated record